This 2373-nucleotide ribosomal RNA is filed under the name Salmonella enterica subsp. enterica serovar Johannesburg. RNAcentral's name for it is "partial 23S ribosomal RNA". It matches the Rfam family "Bacterial large subunit ribosomal RNA", at positions 586 to 2925 of the family's 2925-position model. Lineage: Bacteria; Pseudomonadati; Pseudomonadota; Gammaproteobacteria; Enterobacterales; Enterobacteriaceae. The record is from RNAcentral.
UUGGGGUGUGACUGCGUACCUUUUGUAUAAUGGGUCAGCGACUUAUAUUCUGUAGCAAGGUUAACCGAAUAGGGGAGCCGGAGGGAAACCGAGUCUUAACCGGGCGUUAAGUUGCAGGGUAUAGACCCGAAACCCGGUGAUCUAGCCAUGGGCAGGUUGAAGGUUGGGUAACACUAACUGGAGGACCGAACCGACUAAUGUUGAAAAAUUAGCGGAUGACCUGUGGCUGGGGGUGAAAGGCCAAUCAAACCGGGAGAUAGCUGGUUCUCCCCGAAAGCUAUUUAGGUAGCGCCUCGUGAAUUCAUCUCCGGGGGUAGAGCACUGUUUCGGCUAGGGGGCCAUCCCGGCUUACCAACCCGAUGCAAACUGCGAAUACCGGAGAAUGUUAUCACGGGAGACACACGGCGGGUGCUAACGUCCGUCGUGAAGAGGGAAACAACCCAGACCGCCAGCUAAGGUCCCAAAGUCAUGGUUAAGUGGGAAACGAUGUGGGAAGGCCCAGACAGCCAGGAUGUUGGCUUAGAAGCAGCCAUCAUUUAAAGAAAGCGUAAUAGCUCACUGGUCGAGUCGGCCUGCGCGGAAGAUGUAACGGGGCUAAACCAUGCACCGAAGCUGCGGCAGCGACGCUGAUGCGUUGUUGGGUAGGGGAGCGUUCUGUAAGCCUGCGAAGGUGUGUCGUGAGGCAUGCUGGAGGUAUCAGAAGUGCGAAUGCUGACAUAAGUAACGAUAAAGCGGGUGAAAAGCCCGCUCGCCGGAAGACCAAGGGUUCCUGUCCAACGUUAAUCGGGGCAGGGUGAGUCGACCCCUAAGGCGAGGCCGAAAGGCGUAGUCGAUGGGAAACGGGUUAAUAUUCCCGUACUUGGUGUUACUGCGAAGGGGGGACGGAGAAGGCUAUGUUGGCCGGGCGACGGUUGUCCCGGUUUAAGCGUGUAGGUGUGUGUUCCAGGUAAAUCCGGUUCACUUUAACACUGAGGCGUGAUGACGAGGCACUACGGUGCUGAAGCAACAAAUGCCCUGCUUCCAGGAAAAGCCUCUAAGCAUCAGGUAACAUCAAAUCGUACCCCAAACCGACACAGGUGGUCAGGUAGAGAAUACCAAGGCGCUUGAGAGAACUCGGGUGAAGGAACUAGGCAAAAUGGUGCCGUAACUUCGGGAGAAGGCACGCUGACACGUAGGUGAAGUGAUUUACUCAUGGAGCUGAAGUCAGUCGAAGAUACCAGCUGGCUGCAACUGUUUAUUAAAAACACAGCACUGUGCAAACACGAAAGUGGACGUAUACGGUGUGACGCCUGCCCGGUGCCGGAAGGUUAAUUGAUGGGGUCAGCGCAAGCGAAGCUCCUGAUCGAAGCCCCGGUAAACGGCGGCCGUAACUAUAACGGUCCUAAGGUAGCGAAAUUCCUUGUCGGGUAAGUUCCGACCUGCACGAAUGGCGUAAUGAUGGCCAGGCUGUCUCCACCCGAGACUCAGUGAAAUUGAACUCGCUGUGAAGAUGCAGUGUACCCGCGGCAAGACGGAAAGACCCCGUGAACCUUUACUAUAGCUUGACACUGAACAUUGAGCCUUGAUGUGUAGGAUAGGUGGGAGGCUUUGAAGUGUGGACGCCAGUCUGCAUGGAGCCGGCCUUGAAAUACCACCCUUUAAUGUUUGAUGUUCUAACGUGGACCCGUGAUCCGGGUUGCGGACAGUGUCUGGUGGGUAGUUUGACUGGGGCGGUCUCCUCCUAAAGAGUAACGGAGGAGCACGAAGGUUGGCUAAUCCUGGUCGGACAUCAGGAGGUUAGUGCAAUGGCAUAAGCCAGCUUGACUGCGAGCGUGACGGCGCGAGCAGGUGCGAAAGCAGGUCAUAGUGAUCCGGUGGUUCUGAAUGGAAGGGCCAUCGCUCAACGGAUAAAAGGUACUCCGGGGAUAACAGGCUGAUACCGCCCAAGAGUUCAUAUCGACGGCGGUGUUUGGCACCUCGAUGUCGGCUCAUCACAUCCUGGGGCUGAAGUAGGUCCCAAGGGUAUGGCUGUUCGCCAUUUAAAGUGGUACGCGAGCUGGGUUUAGAACGUCGUGAGACAGUUCGGUCCCUAUCUGCCGUGGGCGCUGGAGAACUGAGGGGGGCUGCUCCUAGUACGAGAGGACCGGAGUGGACGCAUCACUGGUGUUCGGGUUGUCAUGCCAAUGGCACUGCCCGGUAGCUAAAUGCGGAAGAGAUAAGUGCUGAAAGCAUCUAAGCACGAAACUUGCCCCGAGAUGAGUUCUCCCUGAGACUUAGAGUCUCCUGAAGGAACGUUGAAGACGACGACGUUGAUAGGCCGGGUGUGUAAGCGCAGCGAUGCGUUGAGCUAACCGGUACUAAUGAACCGUGAGGCUUAACCUUACAACGCCGAAG